UAACCCAACCGUUGGGUUACACAUAUUGGGUCAUUGUGUUGGGUUAUCUUAAAAUUUGUUGGGUCAUUUAUUUUCGGCGUUGGGUUAUUUUUAGUUAUAACCCAACUGUUGGGUUAAAUAUGGUUCCCGCUUCACUCCGGUUCAAAUUUUAACGGUCCAGUCAGCGACUCAGUGGACAUCAGCGGCAGUCUGCCUGAUUAUGAAAGGUAAGUAACUGUUAAUAUAAUGUUAAUAUAAUUUUAUGAUGUAUAUAACUGUUAUUACAUUAAGUAAUGUGUACUGAAACGUUAAUUAAAUCGUAAAACUAUUUAAAAAACGAAGUUUUAAUUCCCUUUAGUCAGUUCUUCCCCAGAUCGAUUGUAAAUGAAUAUGCUAUUCCCGUUUGCUUGCUAGCAUUAAUAAAUAAAAAUAUUAGCUGAAAGACUAGCAAAACCGUUUAGAGAAGUAUUACUUAACGUUAAUAAAAAUGUCUGGUGAAAUGUGAAAGGGCGCCGAAAUCUUUAGGCUAGAAAAGCCGCACGGACCAUUUAUCUGAUCGGACCAGUGACUGAAGCUGCUCGAGCGAGCUGAGCUCACACAUCAGUCAUACGACAGACACCAAGCGUUUGAAUUCGCUGAAUUUUCUGUUAUAGAAGUUCAAAACUCAGACGAAAGAGCAGAGUCGUAAGGCAAUCCGCUCUUUAGCAGAAAUUCGUACCAGCGCCCCAAACUACAUAACCUUACGUUACUCCUACAACAGAGCGUAAAACAAGCCAUUCGUCAGUGUAUCAGAAUUAUUUGAAAGUGUUAAAAAAACAACAACAACAACACAUACAUAGGCUAUAAUUGUUUUAUAUAGCCAUGCAUGUUGUAUUAAAGCCAUUACAGGAAUAAUGGAAUAGCCUGUAAUUAUAGUAAUUUUUUCUUAUGAAGCUAUAACAAUUUUGCAUUUAUAUUAAAUGUGUUAUACUAAACAUGUUUAUACUUAUGUUUUAGAUAAAUGGAUUUGUGGAUUUUUGUAAAGAAAAAGAUUACAACAGCGGAACCUCUGCAAUUUAAUAGAAACAUUUCAAGGUUGGUGCUAAUAUGGUCCACUACCUCAACAAUGAGACAAGCCAGGAUCCACAUGUCUUGGUGCUUGGAGACAAAUGAAAUUCCUCCCAAGUUUUCAUCAUUUUCAUUGGAGAGGCAGUUGAAAAGGAGACCUUACUUCAAGCAGUGAAUGAAUGCUUCAAAACGUUCUACAUCUAUGACGUAAACUACCCAAAGCCCUCUGCUCCAAUUUGGGAGUUCUUGCAGCAUGCAGUCUAUAAUAUUCCUGGAGGAGUUCCUUCUACACAUUGCUGCCUCCUAAAAAACUUUGUAUUCAAAGUUACUGAUCAUCAGUUGAUCCAGUAGCCAAAAACACACGUUUAAGGGUUAGUUCACCCACAAAUGAAAAUUCUGUCAUUAAUCACCCUCAUGUUGUUCCAAACCCGCAAGACCUCCAUUCAUCUUUGGAACACAAAUUAAGAUAUUGUUGAUGCAUUCUGACAGCUCUCUGACCCUCCUAUGGACAGCAAGGGUCCUUACACCAUCAAUGUCCAGAAACUUAGCAAGGAGAUUGGUAAAAUAAUCCAUGUGACAUCAGGGGUUUAACUUUAACAGCAUACGCUGUUUACGUUGAGUGGAUACUGUCCAAAAUGGCACUAGGGUGACACGGAGGAGACAAAUUGUUGAAUAAACUCAUUAUUUUUUUUUCUUUUGCCCACAAAAAGUAUUCUCGUAUAAUAUUACGGUUGAACCCCUGAUGUCACAUGGAUUAUUUUACCAAUCCUUGCUAAGUUUCUGGACGUUGAUGGUGUAAGGACCCUUGCUGUCUAUGGGAGGGUCAGAGAGCUGUCAGAAUGCAUCAAAAAUAUCUUAACUUGUGUUCCAAAGAUGAACGGAGGUCUUACGGGUUUAGAACGACAUGAGGGUGAGUAAUUAAUAACAGAAUUUUCAUUUUUGGGUGAACUAUCCCUUUAAGGUGUUUAUAACACAAUGCAUAUGGUGACCACUGCAGCAUUUUUAUUAAGGAUAUGUUUAUUUCUUGAAGUAUAAAGGUAUGUCCUUGGUGUACACAUUUGUGUAGUUUUUGGUAUACUGGUAUGUGCACAUUUGUGGUUUGAAUUUGUAUACCGUAUGUGCACAGAUGUUUAGGUUGUAUAUUUCUGUACUGUAUGUGCACAUUUGUUUUGAAUAUUUGUACUGUAUGUGGAUAUUUGUGUUUUGAAUUUAACAUGUAUUUGAAUUUAUGUAUAUUGUUUGUGUAUAUUUGUUUUGAAUUUAAUGUGUAUUUUGAAUAUUUGUACUUCAACAUUUAUUUGCCAUGUGUUCUGCAUGUUCACUCGUGUAUUUUGAAUUCAAUAUAAUUGUGCACAUUUAUAUUAAAUACUAGGCUCAUCAAUAUUGAGUAAAUUUGUCAUUUAAAACUUAAAAACUGUUUUUAAAGCAGAUUUAUUGUUUUUCUACUUAAAUAAAACAUACGUAUUUGAAAAUUGUGUAUUUUAUUCAUUAAAAUAAUCUCAUGAAUAAAAGUAAAUAGUUAACCCAACUGUUGGGUUAUUUUUAACCCAACUGGCUUUUAACCCAAUCAUUGGGUUAAAAAUAACCCACAGUUGGGAAGGUGCUAUACCAACCCAUAGUUGGGUUACUUGUUGGGUUAUUUUUAACCCAACUGUUUUUAGUGUGUAUUAUUUUUUUGCAAUUUUUUUAAUUAUUCUCCAAAUGAGUGAACAGCAGCUUAAUGCAACCAGACCUUUUGGCUUUUUGUGCAAUUAUAAGCUGGCACAGAGGGAAAAUCACUGAGUUAUUUUUGCUCCUGCAGUAGACUACAUUUCAUGAUUUUGUGAUGUGAAAUCAUUUAGCACGUAAUUGCAGGGUUGGUUUAACUGCUGCUCAUUAAAUGUAAACAGAUAUAUUUGGGGUUUAAUUAUAGCUCAGCACCCAGUUAUUUCAUCUGUCUUUUUUUUCUCAAAGCAGGAGACGUUUGUCUCUCAGUCAGCGACUCACUGUUUGGAAAAUAGCUGGGCCACCAUGGAUCAAUACUCUUUCAGUAUCAUACCACAGUGCCACACUUGAGGUAUUCUGUUCAUUGUGUUUUCUCUCUAGACAGAGUAACCCUGUUUUCAGAGAAUGUCUACAGUGUUUGCACAAACCAGAGAAACCAAAGUUAAGAAAGUGGUCUUGUAUAAAACUAACAACAACACAUGCAUGCUGUACCAAUAUUCUGGAUAUAUUAUAAAUUAAGCUUAAUAGACAGCUUUAUGACACAAUAAUGAUUGCAAAAUUUGUAUAUACUUUUUCUUAAAAAAAAAGGUACUUACAGUAGAAUUGAAUCUGUAAACAUUACUCACUCAUUCAAGAGUUUAGAUAUAAACAAUAUGCAUGUUAACAUUUGAGUAAAGUUAUAUCCAAAUUUAAAGCAUCAUUUUAGUAUCAUUGCGAUACUUUCGUAGUAUCAUUUAAUUACUUUUUAUUUUUUAUAUUUCCUGUUUUAAUUUUAAUUUUAAAGUUUUAAUAAAUGUGUUUUGUCUUUGUCAUUUUUUUUUAAAAGU
This is a long non-coding RNA of Cyprinus carpio carpio, 3557 nucleotides long. Lineage: Eukaryota; Metazoa; Chordata; Actinopteri; Cypriniformes; Cyprinidae. The record is from Ensembl.